UACAGAGGGUGCUAGCGUUAAUCGGAAUUACUGGGCGUAAAGCGUGUGUAGGUGGUUAGAUAAGUUAGAUGUGAAGUCCCCGGGCUUAACCUGGGCAUUGCGUUUAAGACUGUUUAGCUUGAGUACUGUAGAGGAUAGUGGAAUUUCCAGUGUAGCGGUGAAAUGCGUAGAUAUUGGAAGGAACACCAGUGGCGAAGGCGACUAUCUGGACAGAUACUGACACUGAGACACGAAAGCGUGGGGAGCAAACAGG
This 253-nucleotide ribosomal RNA is filed under the name uncultured bacterium. RNAcentral describes it as "partial 16S ribosomal RNA". It matches the Rfam family "Bacterial small subunit ribosomal RNA", at positions 524 to 776 of the family's 1533-position model. The record is from RNAcentral.